GGGCCUGUGGUUUAGGGGUAUAAUACCCGCUUCGCACUACAGUGACUUGCGGGGGGUCCCGGGUUCAAUUCCCGGCGGGUCCA
Penicillium griseofulvum is the source of this 83-nucleotide transfer RNA. It matches the Rfam family "tRNA". Rfam says of the family: Transfer RNA (tRNA) molecules are approximately 80 nucleotides in length. Their secondary structure includes four short double-helical elements and three loops (D, anti-codon, and T loops). Further hydrogen bonds mediate the characteristic L-shaped molecular structure. tRNAs have two regions of fundamental functional importance: the anti-codon, which is responsible for specific mRNA codon recognition, and the 3' end, to which the tRNAs corresponding amino acid is attached (by aminoacyl-tRNA synthetases). tRNAs cope with the degeneracy of the genetic code in two manners: having more than one tRNA (with a specific anti-codon) for a particular amino acid; and 'wobble' base-pairing, i.e. permitting non-standard base-pairing at the 3rd anti-codon position. The record is from Rfam. NCBI's taxonomy places the organism in Eukaryota, Fungi, Ascomycota, Eurotiomycetes, Eurotiales, Aspergillaceae.